GCCUCACGCAUUGCCCUCCA
RNAcentral lists this small nuclear RNA (20 nucleotides) under Arabidopsis thaliana (thale cress). Its description in RNAcentral is "snRNA_14801". Lineage: Eukaryota; Viridiplantae; Streptophyta; Magnoliopsida; Brassicales; Brassicaceae. The record is from RNAcentral.